UCGUCUGCAGGCUGUCUCCAGCGAUCGGGGGGCAGAUAAGCCUGGAAAGGGGCUCUUGGGAGGUUCCCAUUGUUCUUGGAGUGGGCUCAAAACUCCCUAGCCUGGCAUUGCUGGUUCUGGGAGCACCUGCGUCACCACUGCUCCUAACAGUCAAGUAGCACUAGGUUUCCGUGGUUUACACCUUCACAUUAGCCUCAUCUUUGGUCCCCAGUGUGGUCCCAUUGUCUCCACUUAAUUAGAAUAACCUGAAUGCAGCAGGAGUUUGAUCCAGUCACUCUCCUGUUAAAAUCCUUGGGUGAUCCCCCAUGUUUUCAAGACGGUGCAGUCUCAGCCUAAUACUCCCAAGCUGUUCAUCAGGCCCUUGCCCAGGGCUCCAGGCUCAGCUCUCCAUCCCUCCUCCACUCCCUGCUCCACCCAGCCUGAAGACCUGAAGCUCUCUGUACUUGUGCCUGCUUUUUGGACCUCUACAGACUGUACCUUCUCCACUCACCAACUAACUCCUAGUCAUGCUUUAAAACUCACCCUUCAGGAACAGGUCCCACGCUGACCCCUCUCAAACUUGUUUUGCUGGUCUCAGAAUUAGGUGUCUGUUCGGCCCCCUGGAGUGGGAGCGUUCUGAGGAGCAGUAUCGUGGGGAUUAAGAGCACACACUCUGGAGCCCUACCACCUGGUUCACAUCUCAGCUCUGCUGCUACCUGACUGUAUGAUAGUGGGCAAGUUACUUAGCCUCUCCAUGCUUCAGUUUCUUCAUCUAUAAACUGGGGAUGACAAUGGUACCUACUUUUUAGGGUUGUUGUGAGGAUUGAUUUACUAGUUUAUAUGUAAAGUGAUUAAUGCCUGGUACAUAGUGACUGCUGUAUAAAUGUUGGCGAUCCAUAUACCCUUUAUCUCAGUGUCCUCAGCACCAGCCUACUGCCACAUAGUAGGCUCUCAUUAACUGUUCCUUAAUGGAAUGCAGUCUCUUCUGAAUUUCACAUUAGCCCCAUGAUAUUAGCAGGGCCCCUGAUACAUCUCCUACCUUAUAGGUAAGAAGACGGGCUCCAGAGGGGUUUAGCGAGGCCACCCCAGCCCCACAGCCACUUCAUUUCUGGUCUGUGCCCUCCCGUGGGCCCUUUUGCAGAGGACACAGGGCAUCUCCCCUUACCUGCCACGUCUCCCUGGAGUCGCCGGGCCUGGGCACGGUUGUUGUAGGCUGAAGCCCUCUCAGGCAGCAGGCAGAUGGCUUGGCCAAACCUCUCCAGGGCUGUGCUGAGGUCCCCAGCCUCUGCUGCCAUCACCCCCUGCAGCUCCAGGGCCUUGGACUGUUCCAGCUGUGCUUGAGGGAAAACUUCAUCUGGGCCAGGGAAGGAGCCAGGAGGGGCCAGGUGUGCAAUCGGUAGCAAGAAGAAAGAGCCACCUCAGGCUUUGGAAUUCUGAGAUCUGAGACAGAGCUGACUGGGAAUGGGUCACAGCAGGGGUCAGCUGCAGCGUUUGAGGUAGGGGGAGAUGAGGUCACUAAAGCUGGGAGCUAGCAUUGCCUGAGUUCCAAGGGACCUGGAAAGGGGCUUUGGUUGGUUCCCCAUUGCCAAGAGAAUGAAGCCCAAACUCCUCAAUCUGUUAAAGCACUUGCUCCAGGUCACACAGGCCAUACAUUGCAGAGCUUGGAUUUGAACCCAGGUCAUUCUGGCUCCUGUCUGCAUUUUACUCUACUACACUGCCUCUUAUGCAAAGGCCACCAUGACAUUCCCAGAUCAUGAACAUCACUUCUUAUGUAUCCCUCAGUGUUUCGGCCUGAGUUAGUAAGGUGUAGGCUUUAAUUCUCAGAAACAAAAGAUAUCAAAAACUUCUUCAUUAGGGACUAAUGGAAAAGCCAGUGAACACACUCACUGCAGAAGAGUUAGCUUGGAGCUUGGCUUGUGACAGUGUUUAACGGAUACUAGUGCUUGCUUUAUUGGAACCACUCAACUGAGCAACCAUGCCCUGCCUUAUUUCAGUCUUCCGUUCUGGUGGUAGUAUUCUCUGUUAUGACAAAAAUAUGAGAGUUUAACAUCACCUGGCAGUUAAGUUUGGAUCAUACAAUCAAUUAAGUGGUAAGUUCAGAGGCCUAAGAGCUGAUGGAUUCAGAGACAAACCCCGGCUUAUUCCUCUUGGCAGAACGUCUCUUACCAAACCCCCAUCAGUGCACUAAGGAGCAGCCAACCUCUCUGAUUCCAAUCUCAAUCAUAAUCAUGGAACAAGGGGCCUUAUAAGACCACUACCUCUGCCACCUCGGGAGGCCAGCAGGCCAGCCUAUAUGCAGAGCUAUACUUCAGAUCAAAUGCCCACCUUCUUUUUGUUCUUCCUUUUCUGCUUCCUCUCCGAGGUCCAGUCCAACAAUGUCUCCAAAUGGGGUGUCAGGGUUGAAGAUGGCCUGCAGCACUGCCCGAUCAUUUGGAGUCCCCAUGGUGCCCAACUCCAAAAUCCCAAAAGGUCCUGAACAUACAUCACUGAUGAAAAAGGAAGAAAAUACAGUCGAGAGCCAGUGUGGAGCGGACCUGAAGGUGGGCGACAGGGAAUGAUUUAGUGAUGCCACCUUAAAGUCGACUGUGGAAGGUACUUUGUGACCAGGUCACAGGCCAUGCCCCUCCCCCUUUUCUCCACCCUCUCCAACCAAAGCCAAAAGGAAGCUUAACCAUGUGCAGCAAUAAACUUGACAUGUUUAUUAAUUAAACUAUCACUUAAAUAAAAAAAAGUGCAUAGAAAAUAAACAUGUUUAAAAACUCCUUUUUUUUACAACUAUGUACACUUUUUACUUUUACAUUCAGUCUUUCGUAGAGAGCUUUCAGCAUUAUUAUUUUUUGAACUAUUAAAGUAUUUUCCUUCAUCCCUGUCACAGGGAGUUAACACUGAUGGACUUUAGACACAUUUUCUUUUUUUUUUUUUUUUCUCUUUUUCUCUAACCAGAAGCUUGGAAGAACACAAGGAAAAAAAAACAGAUCUGUUAUACAUGAUAAAGUUGUCAAAAAAUGUCUUAUUUCUAGAAAAGAAGCUUGUCAUCUGUUGAGCUCUUGAAACAAUUAUUCAACUACCUGUAUUUACUAAAGAGACUGUUAAAAGUUCAAUAAAAGAAACACCACAAUUCUAUUUUCUUGGUUGAAAGACAGAACUAGAGUACCUCGGAACAAGAUACCAGGAAAGCACAGAACACAAUUUUCCCCUAAAUGCAGGUGGUAACCCCAACAUUCAUAACCAAAAAUAGAGAAACAAGGAGGACAGGUACUGACUGGCAACAUUCAUGGGCAGAAAAAAAUCCAGGUGACACCAUGUCUGCAUUUUUCUCUGAUCCGAGGAAUGGACUAUUCUACCAUUCCUUUAUGGUUAGAGGUUCCCCCCAUUUCGGGAAUCAGAGGAAAGUGAGCCUGACAUCUUCCUGCCGCUACUAGCAACUGUAACACAAUCCUUAUCUAUAGUGUUAAGAGAAUUAAAAGCCAUGGACUGAACUAGGCUUUGUUACAUGGUGCAUUACUAUAUUAGUUCCUAUAUAUAUCAUAUUUAUAUUUAUUUGAAAACCAAAACAAACAGAAAGUUGCAAGUUUCCAGAGUGUGUGACUUGACUAGCAUUCAUGAUUCGGCACAGAACCAUCUGCUCAAUAACCUUGUAUUGCUUUAAAAUGAAGGAAAUGAAACAUAAAAUUACACCCAGCCCUUUGCAAUGACCCGCUUUUCCUUAAAAACAAAAACAACUUGAUUUCUAUUAAAAAAAAAAAAAAAA
This is a long non-coding RNA of Piliocolobus tephrosceles (Ugandan red Colobus), 3730 nucleotides long. RefSeq lists it as uncharacterized. The transcript has 2 exons. NCBI's taxonomy places the organism in Eukaryota, Metazoa, Chordata, Mammalia, Primates, Cercopithecidae. The record is from RefSeq and is a predicted model, not a curated record.